CUAAACUGAAUGCUGGGAGGAAGAAGGCGGAGUCAGGGAAAAGCUAUGGAGCUGCUGCUGGAGACAGAUGUGCCGAAACUUUGCUGGUAGGCCAACACCUCAUGGAGAGGUACAGAUUAAUGUAGAUGAGUUAAAUUAAGAUGUAAGAGUUAGCCAAUAAGAAGCUAGAGCUAAUGGGUCAAACAGUGAUUUAAUUAAUACAGUUUUAUGUAAUUAUUUCAGGUCUGAGCUGCUGGGCGGCCUGGAAACAAACUAACGGCCUCCUUACAACAUCGAAGCUCAUGCUGCAUUCUUUUAUAUCUAACUGCAAAAAUUCCUGCAUAACUGUGUGACAUCAGCCAUCAUUCUGAACGGGCAAGAUGGCAUCUGAUCUAAAUGCCCAGAACAGACCAUGGAGCAAUACCAUGGUUAAGUGUAAAUGUGGAAGAACUAUUGAUAUCUGCCACCUAACCCUGGGUUGGAAAUCCCUUAGCAAACGGCUUCUCUGUUCAUCCAUGUCCCUAUCUGUCAAUAAAACCUUCUCCUUCUCCUGAAGCUGUUGAGCAUCAGCGAGGCAAUGAAUAGCAGUGCUCGGUCAAUCACUUAGUUCUUAGGGACAUGGUGGUCAGAGUUAACUGAGGAAAACACUAAGAUCACAUUAUCGUUAACCUCUGUGGGCUUUUCCAUUCGCCCAAUCACUUGGUUUGCAUUUAUAUGGGAACCAUUGAGUCCUAAAAGAGAGCCCUGACUCCUAAGGAUGACAGACUAGCAUCUAAUGCAAUGUGCACAGCACAAAUAUUUAAUAUCUGGAAAGGGUCUUGUUGUGUAGCCUAGACUGGCCUUGAACCCACGAUCCUCUUACUUUUAUCACCCAUCUCUUAAAUGCUGUGGUUAGAGGGGUACACCACCACAUCUGGCUCAUGAAUGCUAGACCUCCCUGGUCUCUAGUAUUGACUGGUAAUAUGUCCCCAUCAGCUUCCUAGUGCAGACUUAAGCAUUUUGCGGGCAUCAGUCACUGGAGCUUUGGGAAGGGCCAUUUGGUACUGUCUCCCUACUGCUUUGAAUCUUAGUGACACACUUUUUCUCCUGGGAUAGACAGUUCAUCAUGGUCCCAGAUUAGCUGACCUUAUACAAAUUCCUCCCUCCUCUCAAACAGUUCUCCAUUCUAUCCCUGUUUCUCUUCGAGGUCUUGCUACCACCUGACGCUUAUACAUGGUUUUCUGUCUGUUUGGAAUACACAUUCCUUCACUGACUUAUUUAUUCCAAAGUUUCUUCAGAUUUCAGCCUGAGUCAUGCUUACAGCAAGGAAGUGUUGCCCAUCAAUCUAAUAUUGCAUGUGCUCUUGCAAGGAACGUCUGUCUUUUGGAUAAUCUUUAUAGACAGAGUUUUAAAUUUAGUAAUUCUAGCUUGCACCAGAGUCUUACGUCUGUGUGAUCGUUUGACUGCUGUAUAUCUCCUGCAUUGCCUUGUGUGGUCCCUAUGGUCAAGGACCCCCUUCCACCUGUCACCUAUGCCGGUAGCAAAUAAACGAUCCACUUCUUAAGACCUUUGACCCAACUCUGCCCUGAAAACCCUGGGCCUCCCAACCAUUCAGACACCAAAGGAGCUGUGUUUGGCACAGCAGAGCUCUUCAGAAGCCCUGUCCCAGCACUCUGGCUGGUGCAUAUGUCCUGAUAUACCUCCCCCAUUCUGAACUAUUUUUAUUAUAACAUGGUAGAACCUUUACUGGGUGAAGUAAGUGCUCCUUGUAAAGACACAUGCAGGUGUCUCUCUUGCAUCUGAAACACAGCAGAGUCCAGCUGGGACCAGAGAUGAGGCUUGGGCUGUCGGAGCCCUGAACUUCAAGGCCAGUACAGGCCUUAUCCAUAGGGGACUUUCUCUUGAUUACGUGCACUGCCGCUGUGGUGGCUGGAGUUUGAGACCUGGGGGUCUACACCAGAAGCUGUAGUUCCUGAGGGAAAAUGUGGAGGUGGGAAAUAAACCCCCAAAUACAUCAGUUGUGCCUCCCCCAAACUUCUGCAGGCCAUUCUUUACUGGGUGAGUCGAUGGGGUUCUGGAGAGACGCUUUUGAUAAGAGUUCCCACAGGGGUUUGUCCCUUUUAACCUCGCUCAUGUUGAUCUUUUUUCCCCCCUGUGUAUUUUUCUGUAUAAAACAGGUAAAUGCUGAGGCACCUUAGCACAUUUCUCUCCCGGGUCAACAAACAGCACACCCAGAACUGUAUCUACCCCAUGAGUGUGGCAGAGACAGAUGCCUGCUCAAGUUUGACGUUGGCCUCCGUUGAGAAGCUGUGCUAAUUAUGAAGAGUGAUACAGAGGGCAUCAAGGCAGGGGACUGGCAGCCCGAAGCUCUCAGAAAGUGACUGACAAGUCCGAAAAGAAGCAG
Myodes glareolus (Bank vole) is the source of this 2362-nucleotide non-coding RNA. The record is from RefSeq and is a predicted model, not a curated record. Lineage: Eukaryota; Metazoa; Chordata; Mammalia; Rodentia; Cricetidae.